UACGUAGGGGGCGAGCGUUGUCCGGAUUCAUUGGGCGUAAAGAGCUCGUAGGCGGUUCAGUAAGUCGGGUGUGAAAGCUCCGAGCUCAACUCGGAGAGGCCACCCGAUACUGCUGUGACUUGAGUCCAGUAGAGGAGCGUGGAACUCCUGGUGUAGCGGUGAAAUGCGCAGAGAUCAGGAAGAACACCGGUAGCGAAGGCGGCGCUCUGGGCUGGAACUGACGAUGAGGAGCGAAAGAGUGGGUAGCAAACAGG
Molecule: ribosomal RNA, 254 nt
Filed under: uncultured bacterium
Lineage: Bacteria
Description: partial 16S ribosomal RNA
Rfam family: Bacterial small subunit ribosomal RNA
Source: RNAcentral